RNAcentral lists this ribosomal RNA (468 nucleotides) under uncultured bacterium. Its description in RNAcentral is "partial 16S ribosomal RNA". It matches the Rfam family "Bacterial small subunit ribosomal RNA", at positions 28 to 507 of the family's 1533-position model. The record is from RNAcentral.
GACGAACGCUGGCGGCGUGCUUAACACAUGCAAGUCGAACGGAAAGGCCCUGCUUUUGUGGGGUGCUCGAGUGGCGAACGGGUGAGUAACACGUGAGUAACCUGCCCUUGACUUUGGGAUAACUUCAGGAAACUGGGGCUAAUACCGGAUAGGAGCUCCUGCUGCAUGGUGGGGGUUGGAAAGUUUCGGAGGUUGUGGAUGUGCUCGCGGCUUAUCAGCUUGUUGGUGGGGUAGUGGCUUACCAAGGGUUUGGCGGGUAGCCGGCCUGAGAGGGGGACCGGGCUACGUGGGAGAGGGCUACGGGCCGGAGCCCUGCGGGAGGUAGGAGUAGGGUAGGAUGCCUGAUGGGGCGAAGCCGGGUGCAGGAAGGCCGCCUUAGGGGUUGUAGCCUUCGGGUUGGAAACCGCUUUCGCCUGUGACGAAGCGUGAGUGACGGUAAUGGGUAAAGAAGCACCGGCUAACUACGUG